RNAcentral lists this unclassified non-coding RNA (165 nucleotides) under uncultured Sordariales. RNAcentral's name for it is "sequence contains ITS1". The record is from RNAcentral. Lineage: Eukaryota; Fungi; Ascomycota; Sordariomycetes; Sordariales.
AGAGAGUUGAAAAACUCCCUAAACCCACCGUGAACCUACCUAUAUCGUUGCUUCGGCGGGCGGCCCCAGGGCGGGGCCUCGGCCUUUUACAGGUGCCCGCCGACGGCCCCCACAAACUCUCGUGUUAUUUACAGGCAUUCUGAGUAACAAAUAUCAAAUGAGUCA